RNAcentral lists this ribosomal RNA (537 nucleotides) under uncultured bacterium. Its description in RNAcentral is "bacterial SSU rRNA". It matches the Rfam family "Bacterial small subunit ribosomal RNA", at positions 388 to 920 of the family's 1533-position model. The record is from RNAcentral.
CCAGCCACGCCGCGUGAGUGAUGAAGGCCUUCGGGUCGUAAAGCUCUGUGGGGAGGGACGAACGGCGCCAUGAAGAGUGGCGAUUGACGGUACCUCCUUAGCAAGCACCGGCUAACUUCGUGCCAGCAGCCGCGGUAAUACGAAGGGUGCAAACGUUGCUCGGAAUCAUUGGGCGUAAAGCGUGCGCAGGCGGUUUGGUAAGUCAGAUGUGAAAUCCCCGGGCUCAACCUGGGAACUGCAUUUGAGACUGCCAGGCUGGAGUUUGGCAGAGGGGGGUGGAAUUCCACGUGUAGCAGUGAAAUGCGUAGAGAUGUGGAGGAACACCGAUGGCGAAGGCAGCCCCCUGGGCCAAUACUGACGCUCAUGCACAAAAGCGUGGGGAGCAAACAGGAUUAGAUACCCUGGUAGUCCACGCCCUAAAACGAUGUCAACUAGGUGUUGGGAGGGUUAAACCUUUUAGUGCCGUAGCUAACGCGUGAAGUUGACCGCCUGGGGAGUACGGCCGCAAGGCUAAAACUCAAAGGAAUUGACGGGGAC